Salvia miltiorrhiza (redroot sage) is the source of this 902-nucleotide long non-coding RNA. RefSeq lists it as uncharacterized. NCBI's taxonomy places the organism in Eukaryota, Viridiplantae, Streptophyta, Magnoliopsida, Lamiales, Lamiaceae. The record is from RefSeq and is a predicted model, not a curated record. The transcript is spliced from 3 exons.
UUUUGGACCAUUGACAUUCUGAGGGAGAACUCAACUGAUACUCAAGUGAUCAAAGUCCUCGAUCUCUUACCACUAUCCCAAGUAGUACAAGUAGUCAAGAAAUUCGAUCUUCUGGUCGGGGACUACACCAUCAAUCAUAUGAACCGUUGUCUGAGCAAGAAAUCGGAAGGAGGACUAGUGCUACCUAUGACAUGGCCUGUUGAUCGAGCUAAUUCUAGAAGCAACUACUCUAGUAAUGAUCUAGCAACACAACUCUCCACAAUCAGUUUGAGGAAUGAUCCUAGAAGAAGGAAACAUAUGAAGAGGUGGGAGAAUCACCGUGGCAGGACUCGCAUUUAACUAUCAUAUGAAGGGGUUUUCAAGCACAUAAUUCUCCUCUUUUUUGGUCGACAGCAGUUUUUUGUAUUGUCUUAGUAACUAAGCAACGGUAGUUAACAACACAAUCGACAUGUUUAACCAACUAAUCAUUCUUGCCUUUUGGGAGAACCUUUGAAAACGAGGAGAUGCCUGACUUAUUGAAUGAGUUCUCCCAAUUCUGUCCAUCGAAAUGCCUCGUCUCCACAUGUUUUAGUGUUCCAGGAUCUAUGCAUUUGUAUGAAACAGCUACGCCGUCUGGAUUCGACCUUGGAAUGUAGAAUGAUGUAAUUCCACAAACUUUGCAGAAUAUGUGCUUCGCUGUGUGUGUGCCAAAUGUGUAUGUUGUUAGGAACUGUUUGGAAUCUUCGUUGAGCUCGAAUUUUUGAGAUGGGACAACGAAGUGAGGGUUUCCUCUCAUCGAGCAAUCGGAACAGUUGCAUUGCCAGACUACAACACUUGAAGGAGCUUCAGCUUUCCACCUUACUCUUUUGCAAUGACAUCCACCACUGUGCAUGACAAUCUCAGAGUCCAUUGAAGAUGUAUCU